GCCCGCUACAACAAGAAGCCCACCAUCACCUCCCGGGAGAUCCAGACCUCCGUCCGCCUCGUCCUCCCCGGCGAGCUCGCCAAGCACGCCGUCUCCGAGGGCACCAAGGCCGUCACCAAGUUCACCUCCUCUUAGAUUGCCAUGUUUACAUCUCAGAAACUGUAGUUGGCUGCCGUGUAUCUAAAACUAGUGUUUAUUGCUCAAUGGAAAUUGGUGGAAUGCUGUUAGUUUUUCGUUCGAUUGCUGAUGUUGCCGUGCCAUGUACUGAUCUGAAAUAGUAAACGAUGUGGUGCGCAUAUUUUGGGAGGAACCCUCGGUUCUGAUUUCUGAAUUUGUUGCUCGUUUGAUGCAUGGCCUAGCUUUCUGACCGAACUGUGUUAUGUGACUGUAAGUGAUGUAUGUUUUCUUUUGGAGACUUGGAGAAAUGUCAUGUGGUAAUUUGGCUGAAGAAACCAGG
Molecule: long non-coding RNA, 457 nt
Filed under: Triticum aestivum (bread wheat)
Lineage: Eukaryota; Viridiplantae; Streptophyta; Magnoliopsida; Poales; Poaceae
Description: long non-coding RNA (TAES_LNC023225)
Source: RNAcentral